UACGUAGGGGGCGAGCGUUGUCCGGAUUUAUUGGGCGUAAAGAGCGUGUAGGCGGCCAGGUAGGUCUGCUGUGAAAACUCGAGGCUCAACCUCGAGACGUCGGCGGAAACCAUCUGGCUAGAGUCCGGAAGAGGCGAGUGGAAUUCCUGGUGUAGCGGUGGAAUGCGCAGAUAUCAGGAGGAACACCAAUAGCGAAGGCAGCUCGCUGGGACGGUACUGACGCUAAGGCGCGAAAGCGUGGGGAGCGAACAGG
Molecule: ribosomal RNA, 253 nt
Filed under: uncultured bacterium
Lineage: Bacteria
Description: partial 16S ribosomal RNA
Rfam family: Bacterial small subunit ribosomal RNA
Source: RNAcentral